ACACUCCUACGGGAGGCAGCAGUGGGGAAUAUUGGACAAUGGGCGCAAGCCUGAUCCAGCCAUGCCGCGUGAGUGAUGAAGGCCCUAGGGUUGUAAAGCUCUUUCACCGGUGAAGAUAAUGACGGUAACCGGAGAAGAAGCCCCGGCUAACUUCGUGCCAGCAGCCGCGGUAAUACGAAGGGGGCUAGCGCUGUUCGGAUUUACUGGGCGUAAAGCGCACGUAGGCGGACUAUUAAGUCAGGGGUGAAAUCCCGGGGCUCAACCCCGGAACUGCCUUUGAUACUGGUAGUCUUGAGUUCGAGAGAGGUGAGUGGAAUUCCGAGUGUAGAGGUGAAAUUCGUAGAUAUUCGGAGGAACACCAGUGGCGAAGGCGGCUCACUGGCUCGAUACUGACGCUGAGGUGCGAAAGCGUGGGGAGCAAACGGGAUUAGAAACCCCAGGAGUCCCAUG
This 450-nucleotide ribosomal RNA is filed under the name uncultured organism. RNAcentral's name for it is "partial 16S ribosomal RNA". It matches the Rfam family "Bacterial small subunit ribosomal RNA", at positions 333 to 799 of the family's 1533-position model. The record is from RNAcentral.